GGGCACAGGCCGAUCCCAGAGCGCAAAGGCUGAUCCCGGCAUCGCCUCUGACCAUGGACCCGUGGUGGGGAAGGCAUAAACGCAUAGCGGAGAGCUGCAAUAUAUUUGGGAGUGUGUGUGGAUACAUCUGAGGAUGUGGGCAAGUGCUUCACCAGUGUCAUCCUUCAACUGCAGACUGCUGCAACAUUCAUGGACUCAGGGACUUGGGCUACAUUGUGUUUCUGUGACUGUAUAGGCCCCCGACCAUCCAGGACAUGCUCUCUUCUCAUUAAUCGGAAAUCUGACAGCAGAAGAAACAUACAACAAUCCUCACUGAAUGAUCAGCAGUGGAAAGGGUGAGCAGUUUCAAGUUCCUGGGUGUCAACAUCUCUGACGAUCUAUCCUGGGCCCAACAUAUUGAUGCAGUUCGAAAGGAGGCACGACAGAAGCUUUAUUUCAUUAGAAGUUUGAAGAGAAUUGCUAUAUCACCAAAAAUACUCGCAAAUUUCUACAGAUGUACUGUGGAAGGCAUUGUAACUGGUUACAACACCGUCUGGGUUGGAGGGGCUAUUGUACAAGAUCCGAAAAAGCCGCAGAAAGUUGUAAACUCAGCCAGCUCCAUCAUGGCCAGUAGCCUCCCCAGCAUCCAGAACAUCUUCAAAAGGCGAUGCCUCAGAAAGGUACUAAUCAUCAUUAAGGACCCCCAUCACCAAGGUCACGCCCUCUUCUCAUUGCUGCCAUUAAGGGGUGGUACAGGAACCUAAAGACACACACUCAACAUUUCAGCAACAGUUUCUUCCCCUCCACCAUCAGAUUUCUGAAUGGACAGUGAACCCUUGAACACUGUCUCAGUAUUUCUCUUUUGCACUACUUAUUAAAUUAAAUUUUCUUACUGUAAUUUAUAGUUUUUGUUAUUAUGCAUUGCAAUGUGCUCCUGCCCGCAAAAGAGCUAUUUCACGACAUACGCCAGUGAUGUUAAACCUGAUACUGAUUCUGAUGCUGUGUCCUGUUUCAGCAGCCAGUCGCUCACAGCACAGCACAGGCAGGUUCUUCAGCCCAUCUAGUCCGUGCCGACCAACUUUUCCAUGCUAAGUAAUCUCAUUUACUUGCAUUUGGUUCAUAUCCCUCUAAACUUUUCCUGUCCAACUGUCUUUUAAACGUUGUUAAUGUACCUGCCUCAACCACUUCCUCUGGCAGCUCGUUCCAUAUACUGACCUCCCUCUUGGUAAAAAAAAGUUGCCUCUCAGAUCCCUAGUAAAUCUCUCCCUUCUCACUCUGGUUUUUGAUUCCCGAACCGUGGGAAAUUUCUCAAAUUCUCAUUAUAUAUUCAUACUUAUUUCGUGUUCCAGUGUUUAACUCGGGCAUCAAUUACAAAUUGAAUAAUAAAUGGAUCAUCAGUGCAUCUGGAAACUCU
Molecule: long non-coding RNA, 1393 nt
Organism: Mobula hypostoma (lesser devil ray)
Lineage: Eukaryota; Metazoa; Chordata; Chondrichthyes; Myliobatiformes; Myliobatidae
Exons: 3
Source: RefSeq, a predicted model, not a curated record